AUAGCGAAUUGCCGAAAAGCUGAGAAAGAGUAGGCG
This is a non-coding RNA of Bacteroidetes bacterium GWE2_29_8, 36 nucleotides long. NCBI's taxonomy places the organism in Bacteria, Pseudomonadati, Bacteroidota. The record is from Rfam.